This 560-nucleotide ribosomal RNA is filed under the name Tamolanica tamolana. RNAcentral's name for it is "partial 16S ribosomal RNA". It matches the Rfam family "Bacterial large subunit ribosomal RNA", at positions 1796 to 2622 of the family's 2925-position model. Lineage: Eukaryota; Metazoa; Arthropoda; Insecta; Mantodea; Mantidae. The record is from RNAcentral.
UCGCCUGUUUAUCAAAAACAUGGUUUCUUGUAUUUUAUUUAAGAAAUUUGACCUGCCCGCUGAAUAAAAUUUUGAAGGGCCGCAGUAUAUUGACUGUGCAAAGGUAGCAUAAUCAUUAGUCUUUUAAUUGAAGGCUGGUAUGAAUGGUUGGAUGAGGUAAAUUCUGUUUUAUGUUAAUUUGUGUUGAAUUUAGAUUUUAAGUAAAAAGACUUAGAUGAUAUUAAGGGACGAGAAGACCCUAUAGAGUUUAAUAAAUGUAUUAAUUAGUUGAGUUAUGAAUGUAAUUUUUUAUUAUUAUAAAAUUUAUUUAAUUGGGGUGAUUGAAAGAUAAAUGUAACUCUUUUUUAUAUUUAAUAUUUUGAUUAGUUAUUUGAUCCAUAUUUAAUGAUUAAAAGAUUAAAUUACCUUAGGGAUAACAGCAUAAUUCUUUUUGAGAGUUCUUAUCGAGAAGGGAGAUUGUGACCUCGAUGUUGGAUUAAGAUUAGUUUUGGGUGUAGAUGUUCAAGAACUAGGUCUGUUCGACCUUAGAAAUCUUACAUGAUCUGAGUUCAAACCGGAGA